CGAACGGCAGCGCGGGGCAACCUGGCGGCGAGUGGCGAACGGGUGAGUAAUAUAUCGGAACGUACCCUGGAGUGGGGGAUAACGUAGCGAAAGUUACGCUAAUACCGCAUACGAUCUAAGGAUGAAAGUGGGGGAUCGCAAGACCUCAUGCUCCUGGAGCGGCCGAUAUCUGAUUAGCUAGUUGGUGGGGUAAAGGCCUACCAAGGCAUCGAUCAGUAGCUGGUCUGAGAGGACGACCAGCCACACUGGGACUGAGACACGGCCCAGACUCCUACGGGAGGCAGCAGUGGGGAAUUUUGGACAAUGGGGGCAACCCUGAUCCAGCAAUGCCGCGUGAGUGAAGAAGGCCUUCGGGUUGUAAAGCUCUUUUGUCAGGGAAGAAACGGAUCCUUCUAAUACAGGGGUCUAAUGACGGUACCUGAAGAAUAAGCACCGGCUAACUACGUGCCAGCAGCCGCGGUAAU
RNAcentral lists this ribosomal RNA (464 nucleotides) under uncultured bacterium. Its description in RNAcentral is "bacterial SSU rRNA". It matches the Rfam family "Bacterial small subunit ribosomal RNA", at positions 63 to 524 of the family's 1533-position model. The record is from RNAcentral.